Molecule: ribosomal RNA, 460 nt
Filed under: uncultured bacterium
Lineage: Bacteria
Description: partial 16S ribosomal RNA
Rfam family: Bacterial small subunit ribosomal RNA
Source: RNAcentral
CCUACGGGUGGCAGCAGUGAGGAAUAUUGGUCAAUGGACGAGAGUCUGAACCAGCCAAGUAGCGUGAAGGAUGACUGCCCUAUGGGUUGUAAACUUCUUUUAUCUGGGAAUAAAAUGUUCCACGUGUGGGCUUUUGUAUGUACCAUAUGAAUAAGGAUCGGCUAACUCCGUGCCAGCAGCCGCGGUAAUACGGAGGAUCCGAGCGUUAUCCGGAUUUAUUGGGGUUAAAGGGAGCGUAGGUGGAUUGUUAAGUCAGUUGUGAAAGUGUGGGGCUCAACCGUAGAAUUGCAGUUGAAACUGGCAGUCUUGAGUACAGGAGAGGUGGGCGGAAGUCGUGGUGUAGCGGUGAAAUGCAUAGAUAUCACGAAGAACUCCGAUUGCGAAGGCAGCUCACUGGAGUGCAACUGACACUGAGGCUCGAAAGUGUGGGUAUCAAACAGGAUUAGAUACCCCAGUAGUC